AACGAACGCUGGCGGCAUGCUUAACACAUGCAAGUCGAACGGUAUUAUAUAGUACUUGUAUUAUGUAAUAUAGUGGCAAACGGGUGAGUAACGCGUGGGAAUGUACCCUUCAGUCAUGGAUAACGUCUGGAAACGGACGCUAAUACAUGAUAUAUCAGAGAUGAGAAAGAGAGAUUGCUGAAGGAGCAGCCCGCGUUAGAUUAGGUAGUUGGUGGGGUAAAGGCCUACCAAGCCGAUGAUCUAUAGCUGGUCUGAGAGGACGAUCAGCCACACUGGGACUGAGACACGGCCCAGACUUCUACGGAAGGCAGCAGUGGGGAAUAUUGGACAAUGGGAGAAACCCUGAUCCAGCGAUGCCGCGUGAGUGAAGAAGGCCUUCGGGUUGUAAAGCUCUUUUAUAGGUGAAGAUGAUGACGGUAACCUAUGAAUAAGCUCCGGCUAACUUCGUGCCAGCCGCCGCAGUAA
RNAcentral lists this ribosomal RNA (465 nucleotides) under uncultured bacterium. RNAcentral's name for it is "partial 16S ribosomal RNA". It matches the Rfam family "Bacterial small subunit ribosomal RNA", at positions 29 to 523 of the family's 1533-position model. The record is from RNAcentral.